Molecule: long non-coding RNA, 324 nt
Organism: Helianthus annuus (common sunflower)
Lineage: Eukaryota; Viridiplantae; Streptophyta; Magnoliopsida; Asterales; Asteraceae
Exons: 3
Source: RefSeq, a predicted model, not a curated record
GUGGGUGUUGGACGCUGGGAACGCAGGAAGGGGAAACCCUCCUUCAACCCUAGUUUAUCAAAUCUCUAAGAAUUGGAUGUGAUUCUGGGUCAAAUUCGAAUGCAUGUGACCAAAUUCUCAACCAUCUAAGAGUUUCCUACAUAGGGAGUGAAAGAAGAAGGAGCUAAUUCCGGUUCGUAACAAAAGGCUCAAGAACGAGGUAAAACUCAAGCUUAGAUGCUAUUGCCUCGCUCGGAACCGAACACACCUUGAACGCCUUUAUGCGCUUCCGCAAUUUUUGAAGUAUCAUCAAUGGAUCAAUACUUUUGUUAAAUUAGGCUAAGU